Molecule: RNase P RNA, 403 nt
Filed under: Streptomyces noursei
Lineage: Bacteria; Bacillati; Actinomycetota; Actinomycetes; Kitasatosporales; Streptomycetaceae
Also listed under: 2 other names
Description: Bacterial RNase P class A
Rfam family: Bacterial RNase P class A
About the family: Ribonuclease P (RNase P) is a ubiquitous endoribonuclease, found in archaea, bacteria and eukarya as well as chloroplasts and mitochondria.
Source: RNAcentral
CGAGCCGGCCGGGCGGUCGCGUGGGGAUCGCAAGAUCCUCCCGAGGAACGUCCGGGCUCCACAGGGCAGGGUGGUGGGUAACGCCCACCCGGGGUGACCCGCGGGACAGUGCCACAGAAAGCAAACCGCCCGGGCCGCACGGCCCGGGUAAGGGUGAAACGGUGGUGUAAGAGACCACCAGUGCCCAGGGUGACCUGGGCAGCUAGGUAAACCCCACCCGGAGCAAGGUCAAGAGGGGCCAUCGGCUGAUGGCCCUGCGCGGACGAUCGAGGGCUGCCCGCCCGAGUCCGCGGGUAGACCGCACGAGGCUGCCGGCAACGGCAGCCCUAGAUGGAUGGCCGCCUCCCGGCCGACCGCAAGGUCGCCCGGAGACAGAACCCGGCGUACAGGCUGGACUCGUCCG